UCCGGUUUAUCACCGGCAGUCUCCUUAGAGUUCCCAGCCGAACUGUUGGCAACUAAGGACGAGGGUUGCGCUCGUUACGGGACUUAACCCAACAUCUCACGACACGAGCUGACGACAGCCAUGCAGCACCUGUCUCUCGGUUCCCGAGGGCACCCUUCUAUCUCUAGAAGGUUCCGAGGAUGUCAAGAGUAGGUAAGGUUCUUCGCGUUGCAUCGAAUUAAACCACAUGCUCCACCGCUUGUGCGGGCCCCCGUCAAUUCCAUUUGAGUUUUAACCUUGCGGCCGUACUCCCCAGGCGGAGAACUUAACGCGUUAGCUUCGGCACUAAGGAGACAAAGCUCCCCAACGCCUAGUUCUCAUCGUUUACGGCGUGGACUAC
Molecule: unclassified non-coding RNA, 379 nt
Filed under: uncultured Gammaproteobacteria bacterium
Lineage: Bacteria; Pseudomonadati; Pseudomonadota; Gammaproteobacteria
Description: contains 16S-23S intergenic spacer region
Source: RNAcentral